This 433-nucleotide ribosomal RNA is filed under the name uncultured bacterium. Its description in RNAcentral is "partial 16S ribosomal RNA". It matches the Rfam family "Bacterial small subunit ribosomal RNA", at positions 29 to 507 of the family's 1533-position model. The record is from RNAcentral.
AACGAGCGCUGGCGGCAUGCCUAACACAUGCAAGUCGAACGAGACCUUCGGGUCUAGUGGCGCACGGGUGCGUAACGCGUGGGAACCUGCCCUUAGGUUCGGAAUAACUCCCCGAAAGGGGUGCUAAUACCGGAUAAUGUCUUCGGACCAAAGAUUUAUCGACUUUGGAUGGGCCCGCGUUGGAUUCGCUAGUUGGUAGGGUAAAAGCCUACCAAGGCGACGAUCCAUAGCUGGUCUGAGAGGAUGAUCAGCCACGCUGGGACUGAGACACGGCCCAGACUCCUACGGGAGGCAGCAGUGGGGAAUAUUGGACAGUGGGCGGAAGCAUGAUCCAGCAAUGCCGCGUGAGUGAUGAAGGCCUUAGGGUUGUAAAGCUCUUUUAACCGGGAUGAUAAUGACGGUACCGAGAGAAUAAGCUCCGGCUAACUACGUG